AUCCCUUUCCAUCUACAUUGGCUCUUGUGGGUUUGGAACCUGGCAGUCUCUCAGUACACAUCUGCCCAGCCUUCUCUCUCCAGCCAGGUUCCAGUAGAGCUGGGUAGAGCUUGUGGUGCAGCCUCUGGAGGACAGCUGCUCCAGCCAGCGCAUCACAGAGAGGCUGAGCCCUCACAUCCCUGCAGCUCAUCCUGGGACGGCUGCUGGCAAGCAGAGCUCACAAUUACAGGAGCAGAAGAAGGAGCUGGGGGCUCCUGAAACACUGGCUGGUGGUUGUGCUAUAGGGAGCUGACAGAUAGCAUACCUCUCUUCCGUAGCCAUUGAUCCUAUAGAGAUAGGAAACAGACUCCUUCAGCCCUGCAGAAAGCCUGAGGUCUCAGCUUCAUGCCUGUGCAUCACCCCAGACGGAGGACACCUCCAUCCCUUGUAAGUGGGAUCAGAGCAGGGCAUGGGAGUGGCAGAAGCCAUACAACAAGCUGCCAAGCACCCUGGGGUCACCACUUCUUCACCAUGACAAGCACAGAGAGUCUUCCUCUGGUGCUUUGGAAGGAUGGUGUGAGGGACACAUCAGCAGUGGGCACACCGGGUCCCAGCAGGACAGCUUUGGGUGGACCACCAGAGGCACUACAAGGGAAUGCUUUGCUCACAGCUCAGUGGGAAGCAGAAGGCAAUAGCAGAUUUGCACAGGGUGGGUCUAACAGAGGUGGUCCUUGAAAAUAGCUUGUGAACAGGCCAGUGCUGGUCUUCAUAUCCCAGGCAGCAAUAAGCUGCAGCCUCUGCAGGUUUGCGUCAGGGUGAUGGAGCUGGAGGACGUGGCUUUGACAGAGCUCAAGGUAACAAAACCACAUUGACCACUAUUGCCAUCAGCUGCUCCUUGUAGUAUAAGCUGUGCCUCUCAUGCCAUGGCUGUGUCCUCCAGCUGCCACAAGGAGUGGGCUUGGCUGAGAGGCUGCACGCUGGUGCUUCCACACUCCUUGUGCCAUGCAGAGACGUGGCAGGAGCUCGCAAGAAAGGCCGCUCUCCAGACUCAUCCUGCUUCUCUGGUAACAACUUGCAGACAUAAGAACGGCCUAAAAAUAGCAAAGUACAACAUCUGCAGUGAGGCAUUUCCUCCUCUCCCCCUUCCGACAGCUUUGUCACCUCUGAUGUCCCAUCAGCUCUUUCCUUUCCCAGUCUGCAUGGGACUGGGCAGCACAAACGUGUCCCCAUGUCUCUGCUGGGCCCCUCGUUUCCCACCAUGUUUCUCAAGGUCUCCAGGAUCCAGCCCCACAAUUACCCAGCCUGCAUCCUUCUUGGGACUGAGGAAAGCACAGGGGCCCCUUCCUGCCCUACAGCACAAUUCCUCUGGGUCUGCUAUUCACAAUAGCAGCGACCACAAUCUCCUACCUGGAACACAGAGAGCUUUCUGCCCGAGGCUAUUGCUCUCCAGGUGUUUCACUCCCAUUGAGUCGUCUUUGGGGUUAUUUUCCCACAACAGAGGAUAUGCAUUCACCGGAGGCUGGUUUACAUGGUGCUUCCUACCCACAGCUCCGGUCCUUCCGCGUUCCUUUGUGUUUCUUUUCUCAUCAGAGUUUGCAUCUCCUCCCAGUUUGAAGUUAUCUGCAAAUGUAAUUAGUGUGCUGCUAGCUCCCCUCCUUUACAUCAUUAAUGCUCCACCAGGGUGGAUUUAAAUCCCUCUCUCCCCUCUCCCCACGACUCCUGACUAUCAAGAGGCAUCAAACCAAUGGAGAUGCGCAGGCUCAGCAAGUUAUUAUUCUGUGCAAGCACGAUGCCCUCCCAGGACAACACUACAGGACGGCAUUUGCUUGGAUAAAACAGUUUGCCAACACUUGCUAUUGAGGAAAUUUGUGGUCUGUGCAUUGGGGAAUGACUCAGUGGAGCCAGGAGCUGUCUGAAAGCCCCCACUGAGGAUUUGCUCUGAGUACAGCCUGCGGGGCUGGUGGGUGGGCAAACAAUGUGGCUCAGGAGCUCCUGUUCAAUAAAAUGAAUUUGUCUCCAA
Molecule: long non-coding RNA, 1999 nt
Organism: Gallus gallus (chicken)
Lineage: Eukaryota; Metazoa; Chordata; Aves; Galliformes; Phasianidae
Source: Ensembl